UACGUAGGUGGCGAGCGUUGUCCGGAUUUACUGGGUGUAAAGGGCGUGUAGGCGGAUCCGCAAGUCAGAUGUGAAAUACCGAUGCUUAACAUCGGGGCUGCAUUUGAAACUGUGGACCUUGAGUGCAGGAGAGGAAAGCGGAAUUCCUAGUGUAGCGGUGAAAUGCGUAGAUAUUAGGAGGAACACCAGUGGCGAAGGCGGCUUUCUGGACUGUAACUGACGCUGAGGCGCGAAAGCGUGGGUAGCAAACAGGAUUAGAUACC
RNAcentral lists this ribosomal RNA (263 nucleotides) under uncultured bacterium. Its description in RNAcentral is "partial 16S ribosomal RNA". It matches the Rfam family "Bacterial small subunit ribosomal RNA", at positions 524 to 786 of the family's 1533-position model. The record is from RNAcentral.